GCCAGUCUAGUGUAGUGGUUUGAGUGCUAGACUGUGAAUCUGGAGACCAGGGUUUGAUUCCCAGCUCAGACA
Molecule: non-coding RNA, 72 nt
Organism: Phrynosoma platyrhinos (Desert horned lizard)
Lineage: Eukaryota; Metazoa; Chordata; Lepidosauria; Squamata; Phrynosomatidae
Source: the annotation of a GenBank genome assembly